This 432-nucleotide ribosomal RNA is filed under the name uncultured bacterium. RNAcentral's name for it is "bacterial SSU rRNA". It matches the Rfam family "Bacterial small subunit ribosomal RNA", at positions 30 to 473 of the family's 1533-position model. The record is from RNAcentral.
AUUGAACGCUGGCGGUAGGCCUAACACAUGCAAGUCGAACGCGAAAAGUCCUUCGGGAUGAGUAGAGUGGCGGACGGGUGAGUAACGCGUAGGAAUCUAUCCUGUAGUGGGGGAUAACGUUUCGAAAGGAACGCUAAUACCGCAUACGCCCCAAGGGGGAAAGCGGGGGAUCUUCGGACCUCGUGCUAUAGGAGGAGCCUGCGUCGGAUUAGCUAGUUGGUGAGGUAAAGGCUCACCAAGGCGACGAUCCGUAGCUGGUCUGAGAGGAUGAUCAGCCACACCGGAACUGAGACACGGUCCGGACUCCUACGGGAGGCAGCAGUGGGGAAUAUUGCGCAAUGGGCGAAAGCCUGACGCAGCCAUACCGCGUGUGUGAAGAAGGCUCGGUUGUAAGCACUUCAGUGUGGAGGAAAAGACGUGGUGGCGUAAUAU